GAUGAACGCUGGCGGCGUGCUUAACACAUGCAAGUCGAACGGAAAGGCCUCUGCUUGCAGGGGUACUCGAGUGGCGAACGGGUGAGUAACACGUGGGUGAUCUGCCCUGCACUUCGGGAUAAGCCUGGGAAACUGGGUCUAAUACCGGAUAGGACAAUGGUUUGGAUGCUGUUGUGGAAAGUUUUUCGGUGUGGGAUGAGCUCGCGGCCUAUCAGCUUGUUGGUGGGGUAAUGGCCUACCAAGGCGUCGACGGGUAGCCGGCCUGAGAGGGUGUACGGCCACAUUGUGACUGAGAGACGGCCCAGACUCCUACGGGAGGCAGCAGUGGGGAAUAUUGCACAAUGGGCGCAAGCCUGAGGCAGCGACGCCGCGUGGGGGAUGACGGCCUUCGGGUUGUAAACUCCUUUCGCUAGGGACGAAGCGUGUUUGUGACGGUACCUGGAGAAGAAGCACCGGCUAACUACGUG
RNAcentral lists this ribosomal RNA (467 nucleotides) under uncultured bacterium. RNAcentral's name for it is "partial 16S ribosomal RNA". It matches the Rfam family "Bacterial small subunit ribosomal RNA", at positions 28 to 507 of the family's 1533-position model. The record is from RNAcentral.